This 550-nucleotide ribosomal RNA is filed under the name uncultured bacterium. RNAcentral describes it as "bacterial SSU rRNA". It matches the Rfam family "Bacterial small subunit ribosomal RNA", at positions 355 to 896 of the family's 1533-position model. The record is from RNAcentral.
UAGGGAAUCUUCCGCAAUGGGCGAAAGCCUGACGGAGCAACGCCGCGUGAGUGAUGAAGGUCUUCGGAUCGUAAAACUCUGUUAUUAGGGAAGAACAUAUGUGUAAGUAACUGUGCACAUCUUGACGGUACCUAAUCAGAAAGCCACGGCUAACUACGUGCCAGCAGCCGCGGUAAUACGUAGGUGGCAAGCGUUAUCCGGAAUUAUUGGGCGUAAAGCGCGCGUAGGCGGUUUUUUAAGUCUGAUGUGAAAGCCCACGGCUCAACCGUGGAGGGUCAUUGGAAACUGGAAAACUUGAGUGCAGAAGAGGAAAGUGGAAUUCCAUGUGUAGCGGUGAAAUGCGCAGAGAUAUGGAGGAACACCAGUGGCGAGGGCGACUUUCUGGUCUGUAACUGACGCUGAUGUGCGAAAGCGUGGGGAUCAAACAGGAUUAGAUACCCUGGUAGUCCACGCCGUAAACGAUGAGUGCUAAGUGUUAGGGGGUUUCCGCCCCUUAGUGCUGCAGCUAACGCAUUAAGCACUCCGCCUGGGGAGUACGACCCCAAGGUUG